CGCGGGGUAGAGCAGCUUGGAAGCUCGUCGGGCUCAUAACCCGGAGGUCGUGGGUUCAAAUCCCACCCCCGCUACCA
This 77-nucleotide transfer RNA is filed under the name Candidatus Scalindua rubra. Its description in RNAcentral is "tRNA-Met". It matches the Rfam family "tRNA". Rfam says of the family: Transfer RNA (tRNA) molecules are approximately 80 nucleotides in length. Their secondary structure includes four short double-helical elements and three loops (D, anti-codon, and T loops). Further hydrogen bonds mediate the characteristic L-shaped molecular structure. tRNAs have two regions of fundamental functional importance: the anti-codon, which is responsible for specific mRNA codon recognition, and the 3' end, to which the tRNAs corresponding amino acid is attached (by aminoacyl-tRNA synthetases). tRNAs cope with the degeneracy of the genetic code in two manners: having more than one tRNA (with a specific anti-codon) for a particular amino acid; and 'wobble' base-pairing, i.e. permitting non-standard base-pairing at the 3rd anti-codon position. The record is from RNAcentral. Lineage: Bacteria; Pseudomonadati; Planctomycetota; Candidatus Brocadiia; Candidatus Brocadiales; Candidatus Scalinduaceae.